This 212-nucleotide long non-coding RNA is filed under the name Elaeis guineensis (African oil palm). RNAcentral's name for it is "long non-coding RNA (EGUI_LNC009592)". Lineage: Eukaryota; Viridiplantae; Streptophyta; Magnoliopsida; Arecales; Arecaceae. The record is from RNAcentral.
CCCAAGUUCUCCCUCUCCAAGGUAGGGUUCACAAAGUUAUAUGGCUAGAUGGAGGGUUCGUAGGUGCCACAGCCAAGACCAAUGAACGAAAUCUGCAUUCGUCAUCCUUGUGGCCGAUCCUUCCAUGUUGGCAGGUGAACACCAUAGCUCAUCCCUUAUCACAAUCCCUAGCUUAAGAGGUUCCAGGGCAUUGAUCUCCACUUUAACCCUCA